AGGGUUGGUGACCCCUGGACUAGUCUUUGGUUGAACGCAGUGAAUGAAAGCACAGGAGGGAAGCAGCAGUCUGGAUGCAGCUAUCACACAUUACUAUGAGCUAUUACAUAUUUCUUUAUCACACACUGACGGAUUCAAAGAUGGCCAGAUCUAACGUGUAGAAACUGACAAGAAUUCUAACUCAUUUUUAGCCAUUCUGACAAAUAAUACACCAACAAACAACAGACCAUUUCACAAAGAGGAUAAUGACGCAUUUCAACAGUUCUCUUAAAUAACUGAGUGUUUAAUAAACUAACAUUUGUACAUUUAUACAGCUUUAGAGCUACAUAUUUGCUUCGAAAGAGGUAUUCCUAAUGUAGUGUAUGAGCAGGUCAGUGCAUUUGACUAUAGAAAUAUAUAAAUAUUCUGCAGUUUUCAGUCUCACAUGAUUUUUAAUGUCGAGGUUUUCUUUUUUAUGUGCGCAAACUGAAAUGCUCUCUAUUGACAACCGCUGCUGAGAAACCUAGAAAUGUGAAAGGAGGUCUAUAUUAUUUUAUAUUUAUUCUGCAGGCGCUGUAGAGAAGAGAAAGAGGAAAGUCGCCCAUGAAGAUCAGAGGGAUGAAAUCCGACAGACUGUUGAAGAGAAGAUGAAACGACAGAAAGAGCAGAAGGAGAGGAGCGACGAGAGGAAAGAGCUGGAGAAGAAAUCAGCGCUGGAUCGCUUUAAGAAGUGAAGAUGUCUGAUGUACAUCGAGAACAGUGUUGCUCAUCUGCCGCACACACUGGCAGAUUACAGGACACGACUGUUUUAUAAUAAAAUAUCCUGAUGUCA
This is a non-coding RNA of Danio rerio (zebrafish), 811 nucleotides long. NCBI's taxonomy places the organism in Eukaryota, Metazoa, Chordata, Actinopteri, Cypriniformes, Danionidae. The record is from RefSeq and is a predicted model, not a curated record.